RNAcentral lists this transfer RNA (74 nucleotides) under Limosilactobacillus gastricus. Its description in RNAcentral is "tRNA-Thr(cgt)". It matches the Rfam family "tRNA". Rfam says of the family: Transfer RNA (tRNA) molecules are approximately 80 nucleotides in length. Their secondary structure includes four short double-helical elements and three loops (D, anti-codon, and T loops). Lineage: Bacteria; Bacillati; Bacillota; Bacilli; Lactobacillales; Lactobacillaceae. The record is from RNAcentral. RNAcentral also lists the same sequence under 1 other name.
GCCGAUUUAGCUCAGUUGGUUAGAGCGCAUCUCUCGUAAAGAUGAGGUCGGAGGUUCGACUCCUCUAAUCGGCA